GCCAGGCGCGGUGGCUCACGCCUGUAAUCCCAGCACUUUGGGAGGCCGAGACGGGCGGAUCACGAGGUCAGGAGAUCGAGACCAUCCUGGCUAACACGGUGUUAGCCAGGAUGGUCUCGAUCUCCUGACCUCGUGAUCCGCCCGUCUCGG
RNAcentral lists this signal recognition particle RNA (150 nucleotides) under Chlorocebus sabaeus (green monkey). RNAcentral's name for it is "Metazoan signal recognition particle RNA". The stretch from base 46 to 150 matches the Rfam family "MIR1846 microRNA precursor family", at positions 1 to 86 of the family's 110-position model. The record is from Rfam by way of RNAcentral. Lineage: Eukaryota; Metazoa; Chordata; Mammalia; Primates; Cercopithecidae.